CUACGGGUGGCAGCAGUGGGGAAUAUUGGACAAUGGGGGAAACCCUGAUCCAGCAAUGCCGCGUGUGUGAAGAAGGCCUGCGGGUUGUAAAGCACUUUCGGUUGGGAGGACUGCUUCUAGCACUAAUAUUGUUGGAAGUUGACGUUACCUUCAGAAGAAGCACCGGCUAACUCCGUGCCAGCAGUCGCGGUAAUACGGAGGGGUGCAAGCGUUAAUCGGAAUUACGGGGCGUAAAGCGCGCGUAGGCGGCUAGAUCAGUCGGGUGUGAAAGCCCCGGGCUUAACCUGGGAACUGCAUCCGAUACUGUCUAGCUUGAGUACAGGAGAGGAGAGUGGAAUUCCACAUGUAGCGGUGAAAUGCGUAGAUAUGUGGAGGAACACCAAUGGCGAAGGCAGCUCUCUGGCCUGAUACUGACGCUGAGGUGCGAAAGCGUGGGGAGCAAACAGGAUUAGAUACCCUCGUAGUC
This 466-nucleotide ribosomal RNA is filed under the name uncultured bacterium. Its description in RNAcentral is "partial 16S ribosomal RNA". It matches the Rfam family "Bacterial small subunit ribosomal RNA", at positions 339 to 795 of the family's 1533-position model. The record is from RNAcentral.